Long non-coding RNA from Gambusia affinis (western mosquitofish), 561 nucleotides. RefSeq lists it as uncharacterized. Lineage: Eukaryota; Metazoa; Chordata; Actinopteri; Cyprinodontiformes; Poeciliidae. The transcript is spliced from 4 exons. The record is from RefSeq and is a predicted model, not a curated record.
GAGUGAUACAUCGGUUUUAAAUUUGUUAAACCGAUGUAACACUCUCAAAAUUAAUCUUGUGUUUCUUGGAAAACGUAAAAUUAACUGCGGAUGGAUAUGCGGUUUCACACUCCAACGUAUUCUCCUCAUCAGUCCAUUUGCGCGGAAUCUGCAGGUUCACUGUCCUACGAAACAAUCUACUUCAAGAGCAUCAACCUGUGAAGAUCGCCUUUGAUGAUUUGAAAAAGGUUGCCAUGGUUACAGAAAUUGGAGGAGCGUCCAGCUGUACGAGUCCUCAUGUCCCAUGAAUUGGCAGUCCAGUUCAACCUUUUUGGACGACAUUGGAAACACAAGCUCCGUGACCUGCGUCUCUUUGAAGUUGUGUAUGGGACACUUAAAAGAAAUGGAUCCAUCUACAGAAUCACACAAAGAUAUGGAAAAGGCACUCUCAAAGUGGUUUACUGGAGCCUGUGACUGGUGGAAAUAGGAAAGUUAGAACAACUAGGGAGGCUGCCAGUUCAAACUCAGGUGGGCAGAUCUUUCAAGAUGGACAGUUUCAAUAAUGUAUGAGAGCUUUCUAAG